Long non-coding RNA from Pungitius pungitius (ninespine stickleback), 432 nucleotides. RefSeq lists it as uncharacterized. The transcript is spliced from 3 exons. The record is from RefSeq and is a predicted model, not a curated record. NCBI's taxonomy places the organism in Eukaryota, Metazoa, Chordata, Actinopteri, Perciformes, Gasterosteidae.
AGCCGUGCAGGACGAGACGUGCGCUGCAGAAGAAGGAGGCUUCAGCAGGAGAACUAAUGCGGGUCGACAGAAAACACUCACAUAGGGCUGUUUAAGGUUGUGCUCCCCCUCCCGAGCGCAGAGAGAGGCCCGGACCACGAGUCCACCCGGCGUCUGUAACCUCAACAACGCGCAGAUUAAUUGGAAUCAUGUGAUUUAUCACCACUGUAGAAAAUGCAGACUUCCAGAAAACACUGGAGGAGAAGUUGGGGAAGCAGAGGGAGGCUCAUCAGGAGGAGCUCAGCCACCUCCAAGAGCACAGUAAGGAAACAUCUCCUAUUUAAUCAACCUCUAUAGUAGGCCAAAAGUCACAGUAUGGCAUAAAAAAGUCAAAACUAUACCGUUAUAUGUCAUAUAAAUAGCCAAAUGUUAUAGUAUAUUAUGUAAAAGAAA